AGGAUUUUAGUUAAUUAAUUAACAUUUAAAUUGCAUUUAAAAAUUAUAUAAAUUAAAAAUAUAUAAAUCUUA
This 72-nucleotide transfer RNA is filed under the name Acropyga kinomurai. RNAcentral describes it as "tRNA-Ala". Lineage: Eukaryota; Metazoa; Arthropoda; Insecta; Hymenoptera; Formicidae. The record is from RNAcentral.